Molecule: ribosomal RNA, 253 nt
Filed under: uncultured bacterium
Lineage: Bacteria
Description: partial 16S ribosomal RNA
Rfam family: Bacterial small subunit ribosomal RNA
Source: RNAcentral
UACGUAGGGCGCAAGCGUUGUCCGGAAUUAUUGGGCGUAAAGAGCUCGUAGGCGGCUUGUCACGUCGGUUGUGAAAGCCCGAGGCUUAACCUCGGGUCUGCAGUCGAUACGGGCUAGCUAGAGUGUGGUAGGGGAGAUCGGAAUUCCUGGUGUAGCGGUGAAAUGCGCAGAUAUCAGGAGGAACACCGGUGGCGAAGGCGGAUCUCUGGGCCAUUACUGACGCUGAGGAGCGAAAGCGUGGGGAGCGAACAGG